Molecule: ribosomal RNA, 608 nt
Filed under: Cyphomyrmex cf. longiscapus n. 2 NJM-2012 fungal symbiont NJM-2012
Lineage: Eukaryota; Fungi; Basidiomycota; Agaricomycetes; Agaricales; Agaricaceae
Description: eukaryotic LSU rRNA
Rfam family: 5.8S ribosomal RNA (bases 214-367)
Source: RNAcentral
UUUCCGUAGGGGAACCUGSGGAAGGAUCAUUAUUGAAUAACCUUAGCUUGAUGGGUUGUCGCUGGCCUCUCGAGGCAUGUGCACGCCCGUCUUGACUCUAUUCAUCCACCUGUGCACUUCUUGUAGUCCUCUACACUAUGUCUUUAUUCAUAAACCAUGUAGCAUGUUGCCAGAAUGUAUUCAAUGGGCUUUUGUGCCUAUAAAACUUUAUACAACUUUCAGCAACGGAUUUCUUGGCUCUCGCAUCGAUGAAGAACGCAGCGAAAUGCGAUAAGUAAUGUGAAUUGCAGAAUUCAGUGAAUCAUCGAAUCUUUGAACGCACCUUGCGCUCCUUGGUAUUCCGAGGAGCAUGCCUGUUUGAGUGUCAGUAAAUUCUCAACCCCUCCAGUUUUUUUUGUUACUGGUUGGGGCUUGGAUGUGGAGGUGUUGCGGGCCGGUCGGCUCCUCUGAAAUGUAUUAGCGGAACUGUUUGCGAUCUGUUACAGGUGUGAUAAUUAUCUACGCCAAUAGGUUGCUCUCUGUUGUAUUCUGCUGCUAACCGUCCACAAAGGACAACCAGUUACUGAAUAUUUGACCUCAAAUCAGGUAGGACUACCCSCUGAACUUAA